This 121-nucleotide non-coding RNA is filed under the name Desulfovibrio sp. The record is from RNAcentral. Lineage: Bacteria; Pseudomonadati; Thermodesulfobacteriota; Desulfovibrionia; Desulfovibrionales; Desulfovibrionaceae.
CGUUGAUUUUGAACUUCAGGAGUCUGUUUUUUUCAGACCGUGAAAAAGGGAACCCGGUUAGAUUCCGGGGCGGUUCUGCCGCUGUAAAAGCCAGCCCCCCAUCCUGAAGCAUGUUUGCAUU